ACCUGGAUAACUCAGUCAGGAGAGCAUGAGACUCUUAAUCUCAGGGUCGUGGGUUUGAGCCCCACGUUGGGUG
RNAcentral lists this transfer RNA (73 nucleotides) under Neotoma lepida (desert woodrat). It matches the Rfam family "tRNA". Rfam says of the family: Transfer RNA (tRNA) molecules are approximately 80 nucleotides in length. Their secondary structure includes four short double-helical elements and three loops (D, anti-codon, and T loops). The record is from Rfam by way of RNAcentral. Lineage: Eukaryota; Metazoa; Chordata; Mammalia; Rodentia; Cricetidae.